UCUCGAGUUCCCAUCGCUACAGCCCAGACGUGCUCGCGUGACUUCUGAUACUUCGAGACCGCUGAACUCUCCCUAGUCGCCAAUCGAACAGUCUAUUUCAGGGAUGGGCAUCGGGGUAGUAUCUCGGAAUAAUAUAUCGCGAGCUGUACGAUAAAUAACAGAGAGUGACGACGCGGUGUACCGUUUUAGGCAACAGAUACAACAGGACUGUUCGAUCACCUUGAUAUUGAUAAAAAAAUGACAAAAAGAAGUGCUCCAGACCUUAAUAUGCUAAACACAUAGUGAGAAAAAGAUUAGAUCUAUAAUUGGUAUAUAAUUUCGAUCCAUGAUGUAAUCAACUACUAAUUUUAUUUUUAAUUUUAUUCAUACAUUCUUAAUCUUAUAUAAGUAUUAUAAAUAUUGUCGCAGAAGUAUCAAGGUGAUCAAACAGUAUGUGCCGACUUCGUGUCGUGUCAUCGUCCUGGUUUGCUUGAAUUACAAUGAGACUUGUUACUUCAAAAGACUGUCCCGAUGCUCGUCCCUGUCUUGUACUCUCUUUCAAUAUUUCACCCUUUGCGAACACGGCAAUACACGUGGGUGUACCGGUACUGUUAUGUUAAUAUACCUCCACGCUUUGCAGAACAGUAGAAGAGACGCAUUUUGUUUCAGUGUUGCUCAACUUUUCUCGAACAGGAUGCAACUUACAGAUAAUCCUACCACGGUACUUUUAUCACAGGAAAACUUAACACCGUUAAAAAAUGAUGACCACUACCUUGUGGUAAAGUUUUCCUGCUUUCAAAACGCGUUAGCUUGCUAAGUAAAUAAAAAUGCUUAAUUGCGAAAUGCUGACAGAGACGGUGAAAAAAUUCGAGUCAAAUUGCAAGGGUAUCGAGUUUUUGCAAUUAUCCCCGCUUAAAUUGCAUUUUAAUGCACGAUACUCGUACGACGCGAAUAAAUGAAUAAUUAAUAAUUUUCUUCGUCGUCUGUCUUACUUGUUCGGUUGACUAUUGUUCAAUUAUGAUAAUGAAUAAUUUUCUACAAAGAAUAAUCUAUCGUGAACUUGAAAUAAUUUUUAUUCGUUAAAUUCAUGUUGCUUUUUAGGAAUUCGUAUGAAAAUCCAUUGCAAAAAUAUAAUAUAUGAAAAUUUUUAAGUUAAAAUAUGAUAUUUGUUUGAGAACCUCUGUCACAGAGGAUAUUGCCGUGUUUUCACCGACAACGCACACCAUUGUUUGCAUUUGAAACAACGCAUAUACGUUAACGCGCAUACCGUCACUAAGGUCGUCCAAAUUUACUAUUCGGGCGUGUAUCCAAUAGUGUAUUUAGUUUCUUAUUUUACCCACUUCCGGUUUUUCGUGGAGACGCGGUUCGUCCUACGCGAUUGUCAAGUUCAUUGGAAAGGAAUAUUACCUACGCAUCGCAUUCAAUCGGCCAAAAUGCAUAAGUAAUUUGACCCUCGAAAGAACUGCCUACAAGUAUGUAUGAUUAUUCAUUUUCACUUAAUUGUUCAAGCAGAUGCAUUAAUUAAUUUCUUUUCAGGGACGAAUUACACAAAAAAGGAAGUCGCAAUCGAAGGAUGAUAUAUAUUUGACGACACUGGCUCUACAACUUAUUAUUUGACAGUUAAAUAUUAUGCUCUUUUUCUUUAGUGCAGCUAAACCUUGGGAAUUUUACGUUCGUGGUAUUUCGCGAGACUUCCUUGCAUUUUUACAAGCAUUACCUUUAGGAAGAUAUUGCAAUACGUGCCUUAUCACACAAAAUAAAUUAGAAAUAUUUAUGAGCACGAUAAUGUAUCAUGAAACAGCAAUGUAUUUUCAAACAUACUACGUCUUUCAAGUCGUCGUUUUUAAAAAUAUUUUUUUCACUAAUUUGUACCUAUAAUUAUGUAAUUGAUAAAUAUUAUUAUUUAAACGUUAUAUUAAUUUCGGAGUACUGCAAUUAAGAUUACUCCUUUCAGUUUUACAAUGAUAUUUAUCCGUUUCAUUUAUGAAUGAUAGAUAAAAUUGUGAAAUCAUGAAGCGAUAUCACAUAUUCUCAUUUCAUCUAUAAGCGAAGAUAUCUGAAGAUUCUUCAUUCUUCUUUCAAAACUACCAAGUGUCAAUGGCGGCAAAGUUUAUUUAAAGAAACUAGCAAAAUUUUCCAUUCAGUGACGAAACAUCCAAUUGAACGUCCAUCCAGUUCCUCGUAUUUCAAUGAAAUUAUACAUCUAGAUACCAAGUAUACACGCACAUGGCCGGGUGAAUCAUCUGGCGCCGUGGAAGAUUUAUGUAGGCGCUUACCUAACUUUGCCACAGCACGCAAGUAUUGAUGCGGUAACCGCUUGUCUGAUUCGAUAUCGCAAGGGUCACAGCUGACCGGUGAAUUAAAAAUCAUAAUUUUUCUUCACUUUUUGAUAUCUGAAGAAAUUCGUGAUAAUAUUGAUAGAUGGUCCACGGAGUAGAGAUUCAAGAAAAUGAAAUUUCUUUCUAAAAUUUUAUACGAUUUACAUUUAAAGUAAUUUCACUUUUAAAAAAUAAUCACCAUCUAUCUCUGUCAUGACCCCAAGUGAAAUGCAAGGGUCACCGAUGACUCACAACGGAAGGCAAACUUUCUUCCGAAAGAAGCAUCCUCUUCCGCUUCGCGUUGAAACGAUACAAAAAUAUACAAAGAAUAAAACUGUGUACCUGGUUACAAAGAUUUUUCCGGAAAUUUUCGCACAAUAGUAGGAAUGUUAAGUGCGAUAUCUAACAAUGAAGAAACAUAUGCACGAAUGCUCCGAAUGAAAAAGAAGUGGAUGAGGCUCUUUCGGAGCAUUUUGAAGGACAAAAACCAUUCGUGGAACGUUUAAAUGACCGUAGACAAGAACUCGUGACAUGCUGUGAAUGCUAUAGAGGAGAAGUCAGGCAUAGUCUCGACAGAUGUGCGCCUUAUUGUUCGUUCAGUAAAGAAACAGACGAGUUUCAAACGCUGCAAAUGGCCAAAGUUAGCGUCGUGCUCAGGAAACGAUAAACAUAAAACGUGCUCCAAACGUCGAUACACCACAUAUUUUUCGCAUAAAAUUUUUAUAGAGAAAAAUUUAAUAUCAUUACGUAGAAUUGAGAAAAAAAAAAAGAUUUCAUUGAACUGGAUUUUUCAAAUAAAGUACACGUGUACUCGACCCACUUUCCGAAGCAAAAAGAAUUCAAACAUGACUGAAACACAAUGUUUGUUGAACACAACCACGACUCUUAAACCGCUAAUCCAUUAAAGCGUAUCUCAAUCCGGGAUGGUUUUCAAGGAGUCGUAUUUUUACGAGCAAAGAUUUUCUGAACAAUGACCAGGGAGACAAUGGGAACUCCUCGAAUUUAGGUGAAGAUAUUUCUGACCACAACCAUUUACCAUUUUGGACGGAUUCCAAUGCUAUCAUUUUAUCUUUCGUUUCAUAAACUCAAGGUUUAUUAAAUUACGUUUUCAUUCAGUUACCAUGAAAGGAUUGAAUGUAGCUAAAAAUCUGAAGUUCAUUUUAAGAAUUACCAUUUUAGAAUUGGUAAUUAUUCAAAAUUCUAGCUAAACGAGUCGAUAAUUGGAAUUCAAAUCCGGUCUAUUCUGUUAUGCAAACCCUCUUAAUGAUUCUAAACGACUGUUCUGAACUCGAAACCCUUUGUUUCCAAACGAUCCGGUCCACCAAUUAAGUUAAUUCUCUCUUCACGAAUGCUAAUACGAAAAUGGCUACGCUUCACCGUUCCCACCGACCCAGCGAGUCCUCGACGAGCAAAAAUCAGACACGUGUACAGGAAAACGAGUUCGUAGAGUCUUCUACGAAUUGCGAGGACAAGCGAUACCUGAAGAAAUAUUCAACCACAACUUGUUCUUUCCAUAAAUCUCAAAAUUCCAUCCCUUUUAAAACACCCUGUACUUGGAUCAAGCUGAUGAACAUAUUUUACAGUACACUCAGCUACCAUAUCCACGUAACAUUAUUCCCGCAAUAUCCUUUUAUCUGCACGAGUUACCGUGCAGCUCGACCGCGGAUGAAUUCCAGCUAAGAAGGUCUCCAAGACAAGGACGUUACACUGGAAACCGCUCGUUGCUCGUCUGAAGCGGAAACAAGCGGUUUCGCGUGUGUACAGAAACGUCUGUCGGUGUCUGGUAAUUAAGUUUACGGAAGGUAGAUGCGGAAAACGUUGGUUGGUCAAAGUAUCGCGGUCUCCGGAAGUCGUGCGAAGAGAACCAGGACGAAAGGAGUCCCGGAUGGAGGGGAACGGUGACGGUGAGGUUAGGAAGGCGAAAUAGCAUGGAAAGGGGACCGUGGGAGAAAGAGGGGAGGAAGGAAGUGAGAAGGGGGGAUGAAGCAAGAAAGAAGGCGAAACCAAGCUGUAUGGAGGGAGAGGAAAGGUGUUCGACGAGGAAAUUUCCAUGACGUAUAGGGUACACCGCGGCAUAGUCGGCGAGAUUCGAAGGCACGCGUCGUUCCGGGCCAACAAUUGACCGAACUUGUACCCGUUUCCAAAUUCAAACCACGGGGAAACUAGUUUUGGUUACGAAACAAAAGGUCGACGUCUCGAUGAACCCCACCGGUUUCGGAAUCCUCGGGUUUCUUUUAAGUUUCUGCGACGGCAACGAGGAAACGGAGGGGAGAAACGGAAUGAAUAACGAGGGAACUCGUAGAGAGCGUGGAAAGAGUCCCACUGAAAGUCUGAAAGGCUCUUUUGCGAAUGUCGGUUUCUCCGAAAUCCCGGCGCAGGAGAAAUCAUCCUUUCCGACAGAGGGCCCCUUUGUCCCGGCAACCCGGGACUCGGAUAAUCCGCUGUUACACCUAGGGUUCCUUUUCUCUACCCAAUAUUUUGGGCGAAUUUCAAUUUUAAAAGGUUAUUUAUAGAUAUAUAUUUCUUUUUAACGGGGCAAUAUGGGUGUCAAGGAAAAGCUCACAUAACAGCAACACAUUCUGUGCUGUCAUCGAUAAGUUUAUAAACUGCCUGAAGUGGCUGGAGAAAAAUGAAAAUGAUACAAUUGAUCGUGAUUAGUUCUGAUAAAGAAUGAUCGAAAUUGACUUUAAAUUAAGAUACAUCAAGUUUAUUAACACACUUGCAGCUACUGAUAUAGUAUCUACUACGUCUUUUUAUAUCUUUUAUGAUUUCAUUGUUGAUUUCCACCUCUUACGUUAAGUGAUUCGAGGUGUGAUGUUUGCAAACAAAACCGAUCAAUUUGAAAUUAUCAGUUGCACAGAUGUUAACGAAAGCAAUAUUUUUGAGAAAUUAUAUUAAGAUAAAGACACACAUUUGUUAUCAGACAUUAUUUUAAUACAGAAAUUAAAUUAAAGUAAAAGAUAAAGUUUCAAUGCAA
Long non-coding RNA from Osmia bicornis bicornis, 5274 nucleotides. RefSeq lists it as uncharacterized. The record is from RefSeq and is a predicted model, not a curated record. The transcript has 2 exons. NCBI's taxonomy places the organism in Eukaryota, Metazoa, Arthropoda, Insecta, Hymenoptera, Megachilidae.